Cheilinus undulatus (humphead wrasse) is the source of this 749-nucleotide long non-coding RNA. RefSeq lists it as uncharacterized. The transcript has 3 exons. NCBI's taxonomy places the organism in Eukaryota, Metazoa, Chordata, Actinopteri, Labriformes, Labridae. The record is from RefSeq and is a predicted model, not a curated record.
CUAAUAAUGGUACAGCUCUGACAGGAGUAAUAAUUGCUGACAGGUGUGUCAGGCACACAGGUGUGCCUGCAGCCAGCAUUAAAAGCCCAGCACAGUCAGGCAGAGGUCUCUCUGAUCUCCAUCCACUUCCUAGCCAUGCAUCCUUGAGAAUAAACCAUGGUUUGGAUGGAAACUAAAACCUCAAAAGUGCUUCGAUUGUCAUCGGCUCUUUAAUUUGAGACACUUAGGUGGUCAGCUCUUUAACAAGAACCUAACAAGUUUUAAUAGUCACAGGACUGAUUUUUAAAAUUUUCAUUAGGGGACUCUGGUCAGCCCUUUACUUUUUCUGUGUUCAGUUGGAUUUUUACCUCAGUGUUCACACUUUAAUGUUUAUUGUUUUAUAUUUUUAUUCUUAUUUGUGGUACAGACCAAAGAUAAGGUAAUUUUAUUUAUUGUAUUUUGCUACUAUUGUUUUUACAAACUUAACUGUGGGUUAUGCUGACUACUGUUUAGUAGUAGGAGUGUUAGUACUUCUCUGAGGCUGCUCCCUUCCCAGGUGCACUGAGGCUGAUUGGACACACCUGUCUCUGCUCUGCAAUCAAGCCUGCAGAGACUUACCUCAGCUCCACAGUACUGCCAGCUACUUACCAGUGUGCCUCUCUCUGUGCUUCACCACAGCCCAGCCACAGCUGGUUGGGACAUCUCACUCCGGAGCCCUCACUACCCCCUACACGUGGAACCCCCUCCCUUCACUGAAAUUGUUAAUCAAU